RNAcentral lists this ribosomal RNA (2163 nucleotides) under Loboquintus subsquamatus. RNAcentral describes it as "partial 18S ribosomal RNA". It matches the Rfam family "Eukaryotic small subunit ribosomal RNA". Lineage: Eukaryota; Metazoa; Arthropoda; Arachnida; Trombidiformes; Phytoptidae. The record is from RNAcentral.
UCUCGAAGAUUAAGCCAUGCAUGUGUAAGUACAUCUCCAUUUAGGAGUGAAACCGCGAAUGGCUCAUUAAACCAGUCUUAACCUAAACGAUAUUUACUUGUUAUAUGGAUAACUGUGGUAAUUCUAGAGCUAAUACAUGCACCAAAAGUUCCAACUGGGACGUGUUAGCCUAAAAACUUGCACGCCAUCGGAAGGAAUGCGUUUAUUAGACCAAGACUAAUAUUAAAGUUAAGGUGACUCUGGAUAAAUAGCACUGAAAAGUGUGAUGCUGACCACUAACUUCCCUGUGAAGGGUGGCAAAUCGUUAGGGAGUCUGCUCUAUCAACUGUGGAUGGUAGGGUCAUUGCCUACCAUGGUGGUUACGGGUAACGGGGAGUCAGGGCUCGACUCCGGAGAGCMAGCCUGAGAAACGGCUAGCACAUCCAAGGAAGGCAGCAGGCGCGAAAAUUAUACAAUGAGGGUUUCCUCGAUAUAGUGAAGAAAAAUAACUACCCUAGAUGUUAAUAUAUGUUUAGGGAUGGGAAUGAUUCGAGUGUAAAUAACUCAGAAGAGUACCGAUUAGAGGGCAAGUCUGGUGCCAGCAGCCGCGGUAAUUCCAGCUCUAAUAGCGUAUAUUAAAGUUGUUGCGGUUAAAAAGCUCGUAGUUGGACUUACGCGUAACUUAUUGUUCACAGUGUCGGACCCUUUAGUUGGUCCGUACUUGUGCUAAGUUACAGUUUUGUCACUUAUAGCAAGUGCAAAGCACGCUGUAUUGGAUAGAUGCAUAUGUCUAACCCUAAAAAGUUAGCUUAUGUUAUCGCUGGUGCAGCAUGUUUACCUUGAGAAAAUUGGAGUGCUCAAAGCAGGCAGCGUUAGCCGUAAGGUUAACACCAACGCCUGAACAAUGUUGCAUGGAAUAAUAGAAUACGGCCUCGGUCCUAUUCUGUUGGUCUUGAAGGAUGACACAACAGCUGUAUUUAGUUUAUGGAUCAGUAAUAAUGUUUACCUUAAAAAGUUACAUUAUCUACCAUUAAAUUAAAUGCAGUAGAGGCAAUGGUUAAGAGGGACAGGCGGGGGCAUUGGUACUGCUUCGCUAGAGGUGAAAUUCUUAGACCGAAGCAAGACUAACAAAAGCGAAAGCAUUUGCCUAGGAUGUUUUCAUUAAUCAAGAACGAAAGUUAGAGGUUCGAAGGCGAUCAGAUACCGCCCUAGUUCUAACCAUAAACGAUGCCAACAAGCAAUCGGGCCUAGCUUUUUACUAUCUUAGUAUAGUUUGAUGGCUGGCUCGGGUGCCCAUUAAACGGGGAAACCUCAAGUCGGGUUCCGGGGGAAGUAUGAUUGCAAAGUUGAAACUUAAAGGAAUUGACGGAAGGGCACCACCAGGAGUGGAGCCUGCGGCUUAAUUUGACUCAACACGGGGCAACUCACUAGAUUAGAACUUUGUUAUGAUGGUCAGGUUGGUAGUGGCUUAUGUAUAUAUGGCAACAUGUGUGCACUAAGCUACUUUUGGGCCUUACUUGAUUCAAAGAGUGGUGGUGCAUGGCCGUUCUUGAUUCGUAGAAUGAUUCGUCUGCUUAAUUGCGAUAACGAGUGAGACCUCAAGCGGUAAGCUAGGUUCCAAGAGCUUAGUUUCAUAACCUUGCAUGUAUUGCUAGGCGGUAGGGGUAACUUUAUCGUUUAGUUAAUAUGUGUUAGGCCGUUACUUAUCUCUUGGAGACUCCCUUGCCUGAUAAGCGGUGUUUUAGCCGUAAUAGACGAGGCAAUAACAGGUCUGUGAUGCCCUUAGAUACUCUAGGCUGCACGCGUGCUACACUGGUUAGCAAAGCGAGUUUAACGCUGUUCUUUGUUUAAUUGAUAUUGUAGGGAGGGGCAACCUGAACUAUAGUACCUUUUAAACAAGAGCCGUUAGCAAACCCGAGAGGGUGAGCAAAUCUUGUUAAAGCUAGCCGUGACUUGGGAUUGGGGUUUGUAAUUGUGGCCCAUGAACGAGGAAUUCCCAGUAAGCGCGAGUAAGAAUCUGGCGCUGAUUACGUCCCUGCCCUUUGUACACACCGCCCGUCGCUACUACCGAUUGAGGAGUUGAGUGAGGACAUCGGACUGUGCGAUUGAGCGAACUUUUCAAGCUUGUUCGAUUGUGUGGGAAGAUGUUCGAACUUGAGUUCUUAGAGGAAGUAAAAGUCGUAA